CUACAGAGGGUGCGAGCGUUAAUCGGAUUUACUGGGCGUAAAGCGUGCAUAGGCGGCCUUUUAAGUCGGAUGUGAAAUCCCUGAGCUUAACUUAGGAAUUGCAUUCGAUACUGGGAAGCUAGAGUAUGGGAGAGGAUGGUAGAAUACCAGGUGUAGCGGUGAAAUGCGUAGAGAUCUGGAGGAAUACCGAUGGCGAAGGCAGCCAUCUGGCCUAAUACUGACGCUGAGGUACGAAAGCAUGGGGAGCAAACAGGAUUAGAUACCCUGGUAGUCCAUGCCGUAAACGAUGUCUACUAGCCGUUGGGGCCUUUGAGGCUUUAGUGGCGUAGCUAACGCGAUAAGUAGACCGCCUGGGGAGUACGGUCGCAAGACUAAA
This 376-nucleotide ribosomal RNA is filed under the name uncultured bacterium. RNAcentral's name for it is "bacterial SSU rRNA". It matches the Rfam family "Bacterial small subunit ribosomal RNA", at positions 523 to 898 of the family's 1533-position model. The record is from RNAcentral.